GGACUACCAGGGUAUCUAAUCCCGUUCGCUCCCCUGGCUUUCGCUCCUCAGCGUCAGAAUCAGGCCAGAAAGCCGCCUUCGCCACUGGUGUUCCUCCGGAUCUCUACGCAUUUCACCGCUACACCCGGAAUUCCGCUUUCCUCUCCUGUCCUCAAGAGCUGCCGUUUCCCAGAUGGACCACCCGUUGAGCAAGUGGAUUUACUCCGAGACUAACAACCCCGCCUACGAGCUCUUUACGCCCAGUAAUUCCGGACAACGCUCGCCCCCUACGUCUUACCGCGGCUGCUGGCAC
Molecule: ribosomal RNA, 292 nt
Filed under: uncultured bacterium
Lineage: Bacteria
Description: partial 16S ribosomal RNA
Source: RNAcentral